RNAcentral lists this ribosomal RNA (318 nucleotides) under Triticum aestivum (bread wheat). Its description in RNAcentral is "partial small subunit ribosomal RNA". Lineage: Eukaryota; Viridiplantae; Streptophyta; Magnoliopsida; Poales; Poaceae. The record is from RNAcentral.
AUGCUCUCUUCAUCAGUAGUGCGGCAGGGUGCACUCGACGCCGGGCACCUUGCCGCCCUCGUGGUCGGCGCAGUAGUCGUAGAUCCUGUACUUGUCCCGCACCCACCGCAUCUUCCCCCGCUGGUCGCCGGUGAGGACGCCGCAGGGAAGGAGUCUGUGGCAAGUUUCUCAAAAAAAAAAGAGUUUUGCUCAAAAAGAAAAAAGAAAAGAAAAAGAGAUAGUUUUGAUCCGGUGCGUCUGUUGAGUCCGACCUGGAUUCUCUUUCCGUCUGGUAGUUCCGAUUCCCACUGGAGUCGGGAUCCAGCAGCGGCUAUUUAG